RNAcentral lists this ribosomal RNA (253 nucleotides) under uncultured bacterium. Its description in RNAcentral is "partial 16S ribosomal RNA". It matches the Rfam family "Bacterial small subunit ribosomal RNA", at positions 524 to 776 of the family's 1533-position model. The record is from RNAcentral.
UACGUAGGGUGCGAGCGUUGUCCGGAAUUAUUGGGCGUAAAGAGCUCGUAGGCGGCUUGUCGCGUCGGAUGUGAAAGCCCGGGGCUUAACUCCGGGUCUGCAUUCGAUACGGGCUGGCUGGAGUUCGGUAGGGGAGACUGGAAUUCCUGGUGUAGCAGUGAAAUGCGUAGAGAUCAUGAGGAAGACCAGUGGCGAAGGCGGGUCUCUGGACAGUUCCUGACACUGAGACACGAAGGCCAGGGGAGCAAACGGG